This 6989-nucleotide long non-coding RNA is filed under the name Sus scrofa (pig). RNAcentral describes it as "lncRNA (ENSSSCG00050017738.1)". Lineage: Eukaryota; Metazoa; Chordata; Mammalia; Artiodactyla; Suidae. The record is from RNAcentral.
CGAGGAUGCUGGUUUGAUCCCUGGCCUCAUUCAGUGGGUUAAGGCUCUGGCAUGGCUGCAAGCUGGGGUGUAGGUUGCAGAUGUGAUUGGGAUCCAGUUGUAGCCACGGCUGCGGCAUAGGCCGGCAGCUGCAGCUCUGAUUCAGCUCCUAUCCCGGGACCUUCCAUAUGCUGCAGGUACGGCCGUAAAAAGAAAAAAAAAAAAANAGAAUAUGUGUUUAACUGGUUUGCUCCUCUGCCUCUAGGUUCUCUCUCCCUCCGGGUUCCGGGUAGCAGAUUGAGAUGUGAGAUAAGGAAACGCUUGGGGCACUUAGUGGCAUCCAUUGCCCUGUCCUGUUGGGGGAAGCCCCCCCUCAAGGUGAGCCGCAGUAGCAGAGGUGGGAUCAGAAGACAGAUGUCCCUUAGGCCAUCUUCUCUUGGGGAAGGGAUGCUGCUGUGCUUGGGACUUAAUCUGAACAGAAGAUUAGCAGCAGGCUCACUCCAUUUACUCUAGUGGGUCAGGGGGCGCAGGGCAAACACGCUCCCUCCCAACCAAGAAAAGGAUGGCUGGAAAGUCCUGCCCCCCGCCCGCCCCCCGCCACCGCCCACCAGAGCGACAGCCUGGUUUUCACUGUUGGAGUAAUAAAUUAUGCUUUCUAAGGAUGAGAAUGUCUUCCAGCUGUUGAGUGGUUUAAACUUCCAGAUGUUCCUCUGCCCAGGAAGCAGAGGAGGAUGUCAGUUUGUGCUCUUUGAAAAUUGCUGCACCGAACGGCUCAUUAAAUUUCAGUGACUUGCCUGUGAUCCCCUGGGGAGGGGUAGUAUUUCCCCUAGGGAAGAAGGGACCCGUUUGCCAGGGGGGUAACAGUAAGCGAAGAGAAGUGAACUGGAUUUGUAGGCAGGAGGCUUGAAUGCUGGUUCACCUGGCUGUGUGACUUUGCGCUGACAGUUGACCACUCUGAGCCUUUCGUUUCCGAAGCACUUUUUAAGAACUAGAGGAAGCAUUGUUGUCUGGUAGCCAAAAGGGGCCGUUUAUAUGUUUACUCUUAUAAUCAAUGGGCGGUUGUUGAACUGGAUUUGACCAUGAAAGAGGACAGAGAUUAAGUCCAUCCUCAUUUGUUCGUUUGUUUCUUUUUGGCUGCACAUGCAGCAUCACGUGGAAGUUCCCAGGCCAGGGACGGAACCCAAGCCACAGCAGUGACAACACCGGAUCCUUCACCUGCUGCACCACAAGAGAACUCCCCAUCCUCAUGUUUCAGCUAGAAAUAUAGUGGCCGGAGAGCUUGGGGCCUCUUCAGGCUGUCACUGGACCUGUGCUGUCCCUUGUGUCCACUUUGUGGCUCUUGAGCACUCGAACUGUGGAAACGUCCAAACUGAAAUCUGUUGGAAGAAUGCAGUGUGCACCAGAUUUCUACAUCUUAGGACAAAACAGAGGAUGGAAAAGAAACUCUUUAACACGUGCUCCUAUUGAUUACAUGCUGAAAUAAGGUUUAGCUCUAUUAGGUUAAAUACAAAUACAGUAUUAAAAUUAAGUUUAUCUCUCUCUUUUUGUGAUUUAUUAAUGUGGCUACUAGAAAAAUUUAAACUACCUAUGUGGCUGGCAUUACAUUUCUAUCAGACAGCGCCCAGCUAGACUGCGACACAGACGGCAGCCUUCUGGGCUUUAUCUGCAGGUGAAUUCUAAAAGGUGAAACGCUGGGGACCAGUGUUUGCAUGCUCACACUUCUCAAGAGUCCUCCCUAAACAUCCGAGCUGUAGGUGUGCUAUCUGGACCACUCCCUGUCCUGGGUUUCAGAUUGCCUCCUCCUCUUGAACGACUGGGCUUUAUCCUCAGAGUAGCUGCCUUUUGAACCCUUGUCUUUUUUUUUGGCUGUGCUUGCGGCAUGUGGAAGUUCCCCGGCCAGGAAUUGAACCUGAGCCACGGUAGCAGCCCGAGCCACUGUAGUGACAGCGCCUGAUCCUUCACCUGCUGAGCCACACGGGAACUCCUGCUUUUUGAAGUCUUAGUCAGCUUCGUCAGGCCCCACCCCCAUCCCCCAGUUUCUGAGUUCACUUCCUAGGGAACCCCCAGCCCCCUGCUCCCCUGUGUUCUGGUUACUCUUGGACCUGCCACAGUGUGGGUGGUUCCUGAACUCCCCUCCUCUGCUCUCCUCGGCUCUUCUGGGCUUGCGCCACGUUUUACUGGAUUUCCCCAUCAAUCUCUAAGUUGGCUCCCUUAUUUUGCAGGAUCAUGUAACGUGUUAGGAGCAUAAUUUGAAAAGAAAAUCUAGGCGAAGCAGAUUCCACUCUUGAUCUCAAAUUACACUGUUGCUCAUUUUAUCCAGCAGCCCAGGUCAUCAUUUCUUUUGAAUAAUGCUUAUAUUUAUAGAGGUGAUUUGCUUAGAAGAAUUGGGAAAUGUCAAGAGUAUAAGGAAGAAAAUAAUGUUAACACGUUUGCUGCAUUUCCUUUCUUUUUGCUUUGCGUCUUUCUUUUCAAUGUGAGAUCACUUAAUGUUGACACUUUUAUUGGGUUUUUCCUCUUAAUGUAAUAGAAGUAUUUCCACAUGGUGUUAAAAGCAGGCUUUUAAGUUCAUUUUUCAGGCAACGUAACGUUGUAACAUCCCGUUGCAAGGAUAGUUUGUCAUUUUCCCAAUUUUACCUGUAAUUUUGAGUAUUAAGACCAUUUCCUGUAUUUUUCUCUCAUAACUCGUGCUGAGAUGUGUGUGUCUGAUACGGGUGUGUCUAUACCAAUAUGUGCACAUGUGUGAAUAAACCUAUUCCAUCUUUCAGAUUUCUGGCAGUAGAAUGAUGAGGAAGUCAAAGGUUCUAGAUGGUUUUCAGGUUCUUUUUUUUUUUUUGUCUUUUCUAGGGCUGCUCCCUUGGCAUAUGGAGGUUCCCUGGCUAGGGGUCUAAUCGGAGCUGUAGCUGCUGGCCUACGCCACAGCCACAGCCACAGCCACACCAGAUCCGAGCCGAGUCUGAGACCUACACCACAGCUCAUGGCAACGCCGGAUCCUUAACCCACUGAGCAAGGCCAGGGAUUGAACCCGCAACCUCAUGGUUCCUAGUCGGAUUCAUUAACCACUGAGCCAUGACGGGAACUCCAGUUUUCAGGUUCUUAAUGCACAUCGUUAGGUCACUUUCCCAUUUGGUUUUGCAAAAUUCAGCCACAAAAUAAUGUCAGACAUUUCUCCUUUAUGGAGUUGCUUUCUUACUGUUUUUUUUUUUUUUUCCUUUUUUAAAAUCUAUUUUUCUUUUUUCUUUUUUUAAAACUUUUUUUCUUUUCAUGGCCACUCCCAUGGCAUGUGGAAGUUCCCAGGCUAGAGGUCAAAUUGGAGCUGUAGCUGCUGGCCUCCACCGCAGUCACAGUAGCGCCAGAUCUAAGCCACAUCUGCGACCUACACCAUGCUUUAUUGCUUGGGCCACGGGAGCAGCUUCGUAGGCCUGCAGUGCUGGUUAUGUGCUGAGGUUUGCUGUGGCUGAGUGGGAAGAAUUCUGCCCUGGGUCUGAGGACCAAUCACUGUCCUAUCACCUCAGAUAACUUGGGAAGGUCACUCGGCUUCCAGGCCUCCAUCAACCUUGUUUUGUCAUUGGUUAAGGGUGGAUUAUGACACCUACUUUAGGGCUGCUGGAGGGUGAAACUAGCUAAUAUAAAUCUGACCUCUCAGGAGGGCCCUGCUGUGUUCCGUUGUUACCUGUUUCGGUGGAAAUCAAAAGCAUGGGUCUUGGGUGCCAAACCAAAGGUUUUAGCUUCAGCCUCUCACCCAUUUGCCUGGUUGUGUGUUCCUUGCAGUCGGCCAGCCUUGCUGGGGAUGAAUACCUGCGUCAUAUGACCUGCAGCUCUCCUCCUGUUAUGUGUGUCCCCCCAAAUGCUGAACAGGGGAGAAGUGCAUUUGCAUCCAAGCUAUGUACGGCUUAUCAACUUCGUAACCCGGGACAAUUUGCUUUGCUUCUUGGACCUUAGGGUUUUUUGUUUUUUGUUUUUCCUACAAAAUGGGGAUUAAAAAAAAAAUCCGUCCUUACCUCCUGAGGUGGUUAUGAAGGUUGGACCAGGUGGUGCCUGUAACUCGCUUGGCCUAGCACCUGUCCCUGGAGAGUGCUCAGUAAAGGUAGGUUGACCAAUUACUAGUUAGUUACUGGUGCAUUCCCGCAGACCUGAGCAUUCUCCGGGUUGAGUCCAACCAACCCACAGGGGUAGCUUCUCAAGCUGGGGGUCCAUAGCUCAUGGCAGGUGGGUUUGGAGUUUAGGCUCCUCAAAGUCAGGAGAGACUCAUCCAGGUUUGCCAUUUGAUGGGCGACAAAGGCUUCAGAUGUUUUGUAGUUCUUUUAGAAUUUCCUACGUGUUCCCAUUCAUGUAAAAGGAAGAUCUCUCUUACACACACACACACACACACACACACACACACACACACACACACCUGUGCGCACAUGCGCUCGGACUAUAUCAUGAAGGACGCGCCAAAAAAUGAUAAUAGUGGCUGCUUCUAAAGAGGUUCACUUUUCUUUUUUUUUGGCUUUUUUUUAGGGGCACACCUGCAGCAUGUGGAGGUUCUCGGGGUAGGGGUCAAAUCAGAGCUACAGCUGCUGGCCUACACCACAGCCAGAGAAACAGCAGAUCUGAGCCACGUCUGCAAACUAUACACCACAGCUCACGGCAACGCCGGAUCCUUAAUCCACUGAGCGACGCUAGGGAUGCAACCUGCAACCUCAUGGUUCCUAGUUAGAUUCGUUUCUGCCGCGCCAUGAAGGGAGCUCCUAAAGAGGCUCGCUUCUAAGGAGGCUCACUUGCUAAGCAGGAGGGAAGCUUAGCAUUGACUCUGUGACGCUUUUCAUCUUGCUGGAAGUUUUUAACCUGGAAGUUUUUAACCAUGUGCAUGUAUUAGUUCUUCAGUCACUAAGAAAAAAGUUCUUGGGGGUUCUCUGAACUCCAAGAUCCGGCAUCGUCACUGCUGUGGUGGGGGUUCAAUCCCUGGCCCAGGAACUUCUGCAAGCCGAGGGUGUUGUUAAAAAAACAAAAACAAAAACCAAACCAAACAAAUCCUUCAAAGUCCACUGGGUAGUAAAAGAUCCUUGAAUGCCAUCCUGCUUCCUAAUGUAUUUAUAAGAGGCCCUAGGAGUUUUCAGAAAUCUCUCUGUUUUAUGGCUCUCCAUCUGAAUCCCAGGCCAGCCUCCCCUCACACAGCCCAGCUCUCACCCCCUUGCAGGUAUCCUUCCUGCCUUUCAGAAUCUUCCAGCCUGAGUCCUGGACACCCCCGCCCCCCACCAGACCCCCAGGAGGCUGGCCACCCUCUGUUCCUCCCCUGGGGGUGGCCCGUGUGGGAAGCCCUGAGCCUGACUGAGCAGGCCUGAGGCUGGGGGCCUUGGCUGCCUCCUCCUCAGCCCGCCUCCUGGCCCCUGUGUCUCCUGCAGAAGGAAGAGUCUAUGCAGGCUGUUCCUAUCCUUCUUUGAACCAAGCCCUGUUCCAAGAAUUUCAGGGCCGCUCUGCUUGCAGGGUUGAGCUGCUGCUCCCUCAGGCCCCAUGCUCGGAGGUGGCAGCUCCUUGGAAAGGUUUCUUUUCCUCUUUCUUUCUGGCACAGAGGGUGGAUUCCCUGCCCCGCCCCAGACCAUGCGUCUUAGGGGUUAUUUGAGGUGAGUCCUAAAGAAGCAUCUUGCUCUCUGUGCGUCAGUGGGACAGGAGCAGAAUGCUGAAAACCCCAUCUUCCUCCCUCCCAGAAGCCUUUGGUGCCCCCAGCCCCUGUGGGAAGCCCCUUGCUUGCUCCCCCAGCUGCGUCAUCACAGCCACUGAGCCCGGCUGCUAUAGCCUCCUCCUGUCCUCGGAGGCCAUCUAGUUCAGAGGUGAGCAAUUUUUUUUUUUUUUUAAUCCAACAACCAAUUCAGGAAACAUGAAAGCAUUUUUAGGCCCACUUUUUGGUUUUUUCAUUGAAAUUGAACAUAGCCUUGUGAAUCUUGGGGGUGGGGCUGGGGGCAGGCAUCGGUCUCUCUUCCCAGGGCUUGGAUCAUCCCCUUCCUAAGAGGGAAGACCCUUAUUAUUAUCAUUAUUUUUUGCUAGACAAUGGAAAUAUGCGAUUUAAUAGUUUUCUUUUUUAACAUAUACAUUGAUUUUUUAAAAUUACUCAGUGAAUUUAAUUACAUUUAUAGCUGUACAAUGAUCAUCACAACCCAGUGUUACAGCAUUUCCAUCCCAAACCCCCAGUGCAUCCCCCCACCCCCCAAUCUGUCUCCUUUGGAAACCACAAGUUUUUCAAAGUCCGUGAGUCAGUAUCUGUUCUGCAAAGAAGUUCAUUGUGUCUUUUUUUUAGAUUCCUUAUGUCAGUGAAAGCUUUUGAUGUUGGCGUCUCAUUGACUGACUGACUUCACUUAGCAUGUUAAUUUCUAGGUCCAUCCCUGUUGCCGCAAAUGCCGUUGUUUCUUUCCUUUAAUGGCUGAGUAAUAUUCCAUUGUGUAUAGUACCACAUCUUUGUUAUCCACUCCUCUGUUGAUGGUCAUUUAGGUUGUUUCCAUGUCUUGGCUAUUGCAGAUAGUGCUGCAGUGAACCUUGGAGUACAUGUGUCUUUUCGAGUCAUAGUUUUCUCUGGAUAGACGCCCAGGAGUGGGAUUGCCGGACCAAAUGGUAAUUGUAUUUUUAGUUUUCUGUGGACUCUCCAUACUGUUUUCUGCAGUGGUUGCACCAAUUUACAUUCCCACCAGCAGUGUGGGAUUCCCUUUUCCUCACACCUUCUCCAGCAUUUAUUGUUUGUAGACUUUUUGAUGAUGGCCCUUCUGACCAGAAGACCCUUAUUGAGAAGGGCCAGGAGUUCCCGCUGUGACUCAGCAGUAACAAACCCUACCAGGAUUCAUGAGGACGCAGGUUCAAUCCCUGGCCUCGCUCUGUGGGUUAAGGCUCGUUGUUGCCAUAAGCCGUGGGUAGGUCACAGUUGAAACUCGGACCUGGUAUUGCUGUGGCUGUGGGUAGGCCAGCGGCUACAGCUCUGAUUGGACCCCUAGCCUGGGAGCUUCCAUAUGCCGCAGGUGUGGCCCUGAAGAAAAAAAAAAAAA